RNAcentral lists this unclassified non-coding RNA (577 nucleotides) under Homo sapiens (human). Its description in RNAcentral is "NLR family pyrin domain containing 2 (ENSG00000277060.4)". The record is from RNAcentral. Lineage: Eukaryota; Metazoa; Chordata; Mammalia; Primates; Hominidae.
AUCUCCGCCGGCGAGUAGGGCCAGGUGUUGGGAGCUCCCACGUGGGACAAGAUGGUGUCUUCGGCACAGAUGGGCUUCAACCUGCAGGCUCUCCUGGAGCAGCUCAGCCAGGAUGAGUUGAGCAAGUUCAAGUAUCUGAUCACGACCUUCUCCCUGGCACACGAGCUCCAGAAGAUCCCCCACAAGGAGGUAGACAAGGCUGAUGGGAAGCAACUGGUAGAAAUCCUCACCACCCAUUGUGACAGCUACUGGGUGGAGAUGGCGAGCCUCCAGGUCUUUGAAAAGAUGCACCGAAUGGAUCUGUCUGAGAGAGCAAAGGAUGAAGUCAGAGAAGCAGCUUUGAAAUCCUUUAAUAAAAGGAAGCCUCUAUCAUUAGGCUGAAGUGCAGUGGAGCGAUCUUGGCUCACUGCAAUCUCCGCCUCCUGGGUUCAAGCAAUUCCCUUGCCUCAGCCUCGCAAGUAGCUGGGACUUACAGGGAUAACACGGAAAGAACGACCACCUCUAGACGUGGACGAAAUGCUGGAGCGCUUCAAAACAGAAGCACAAGCGUUUACAGAAACGAAAGGAAAUGUCAUCU